AAGGGCGUAGUUCAAUGGGAGAACAGCGGUCUCCAAAGCCGUAUGUUGUAGGUUCAACUCCUACCGCCUUUG
This 72-nucleotide transfer RNA is filed under the name Pasteurella felis. Its description in RNAcentral is "Haemophilus felis tRNA". It matches the Rfam family "tRNA". From Rfam's summary of the family: Transfer RNA (tRNA) molecules are approximately 80 nucleotides in length. Their secondary structure includes four short double-helical elements and three loops (D, anti-codon, and T loops). Further hydrogen bonds mediate the characteristic L-shaped molecular structure. tRNAs have two regions of fundamental functional importance: the anti-codon, which is responsible for specific mRNA codon recognition, and the 3' end, to which the tRNAs corresponding amino acid is attached (by aminoacyl-tRNA synthetases). tRNAs cope with the degeneracy of the genetic code in two manners: having more than one tRNA (with a specific anti-codon) for a particular amino acid; and 'wobble' base-pairing, i.e. permitting non-standard base-pairing at the 3rd anti-codon position. Lineage: Bacteria; Pseudomonadati; Pseudomonadota; Gammaproteobacteria; Pasteurellales; Pasteurellaceae. The record is from Rfam by way of RNAcentral.